UGAUGGUUGUUCCGGUACAACCAUCACGGCUGUACCGGUACAAGCCCUGUUCCGGAACAAGCUGCAGCCUAUCCAGGGUACAGAAGCUUCGCAGAAAAAUCUUCCGUCAUGCUGUACCCUGGACAGCUUUCCUUGUUCCGGUACAAGGUGCUGAUUUUGGAAAGAAACUUUCUAAUCCUACUCCGUUUUGAUUCUAAAGUCUAUAAAUAAGCUAUUGGGGUUCUCUAACUGAUCAAGCAUCACGAAAAUACAUGUUUGAGAAACCCUAGAGGCUCGGAUUUCAUUUUAAACCUAUUUUCUACAAAUUAGCCUCUUUAGAUCAAAUCGAGAUAACGUUUUGCAUUCGCUAUAUGUCGAUUUGAUCUAGUCUUCGCUUGGAGUUCUAUUCCCUGGUUUUCUACGAUACUCCUAAGCGACGGAUCACCAUAAUCAUGAUGCUCUUCAUGAACGGCGUCGUGGAUUCGGCGUGAACAAAGGCGGUUCGUGGAUUCAGAUCGUUGGCUCGUGGAUUCGAGUGGCGUCGUGAAUUCGGCGUGAUUGAAGCUUCGUGGAUUCGAAGUGGAGGCGUUCGUGGAUUCAAACGUGAGGGCGUGGAUAACCCGGAGGGUAGCGCGAAGAUUCAUAAGAGGUUAAGAAAGGUUGAGUCCGUGGAGUCGGUAAUCACAUUGUAAUCUUUUCUCUUAGUGAAUUAUUUUUUCGCGUGUUGGUCCCAUGAGUUUUUCUUCAAGUUCGAGUUUUUUCACGUAAAUCUCGGUGUGCUUUUUAUUUUCCACAUUUAUUUUUAUUGCAUCGAGAUUUGUGGUUUUUGGCCGUUCAACUAUUUACCCCCCUCUAGGUGAUAGAUACAAUCUAGAUAGAUCCUUGGGCUCCUCAAAUCUUUCAAUUGGUAUCAGAGCAGGGAUCUAGAUAUAUUGUUUUCGAAUGGCCGAAGGCGGUAACGUUAAUCGUCCACCACUCUUCGAUGGCACGAAUUAUGCCUAUUAGAAAGUUCGCAUGAGAGCUUUUCUAAUUGCAAUCGAUGAGCGUGUUUGAAAAGCUAUUGAAUUUGGUUGGGAGCACCCUACCGAAAUUGUCAAUAACGCUACCGUUCCUAAACCACGGAACAAGUGGAGAAAAGAUGAAAACGAGUCAUCUUCGUUUAACGGCAAGGGCAUAAAUGCUUUAUUUAAUGCAUUGUCACAAACGAAGUUUACUCGUGUUUCGGCAUGCGAAACGGCAAAAGAGAUUUGGGAUACUAUACAAGUUACGCAUGAAGGAACGAGCUUAGCAAAAGUCCAAAAAUUGCAAAUGCUCACUAGCAAGUUUGAUUCAAUUUCUAUGGAUGAAAAUGAGACCUUUACCGAGUACUAUACGCAUCUACAAGACGUUGUGAAUACGUGUGCUAACUUGGGAGAGAAAAUUCCAGAUUCAAAGGUUAUUAGAAAAAUUCUUCGAACUCUUCCGAAACGCUUUCAGGCAAAGGUUGCCGCGAUCGAAACGGUUAAGCAUUCGGACGAGAUGAAAGUCGAAGAAUUAGUAGGCGCUUUACAAACGUAUGAGAUGACUUUUCCUACUAAUCAAUCUUCUUCCAAAUCUUUCUCUAAAAGCACAGGGGUUGCAUUGAAAUCGACGAAAGAGGAAGACAAAGACUCGGAUUCCGACGGAGAUGUUUCUCUUGCCGACUUCGAACAUCAACUUGCGCUUCUCACGAAAAAGUUUCGCCGGAAUUUUCGAAAGAAGAACAAUUCGGACAAGGCUACAUCAUCUAAGCAACAAACGAUUUCUAAAUCUUCUACAUCUAAAGAAAAGAAACGGGCAAAGGCUUCGAAAGAAAAGGACGAAUUUGAAGGCGAAAUCCGAUGCUUCAAGUACAAAGGCUACGGUCACAUCGCAACGGAUUGUCCCUCAAAGAAAUCAUACACUAAGAAGGCUUUGCAAGUAAAGACGUGGGAUGAUGCAACUUCAAGCGAUUCAAGCUCGAGUGACGAAGAAAAGAUUGGAAAUCUUGCCUUAUUUGCUACAUCUACCUUACCCUCGUCUAGCGUUGUGUGUCUAUCCUCAAUUGCUACUAAUUCCAACAAUUCUCUUUCUUCACAUGAUUCUUCGAGCAACAAUGGCGAAAGUGAGGAGGAAUCAAACGACGACGAUAUAGCGGAAGCGUACAAUCAACUUUUCAUUGAAUCAAAGAAGAUGGCUAAAUUGAAUAAGAAGUUGAGACGUCGUUUGUUGGAUCUUGAGGAGGAAAACAACAACGCAAAGACUUUGAAUAAGGCUCUUGAGGAGGAAAGGGAUUCAAGCUUGAAGAAUAUUUCGGACCUCCAAGAGAAGCUUAAUGAAGCGGAAUCAACGAUCAAAUCAUAUAAAGAUAAGGUUGGAUUUUUGGAGCAACAAUUCGAGGAAUCGCACACAUCCAACAAGUCACUGACCAAUCAAGUUCGUCAACUUCAAUCCGACAUUCAACGAUUUUCUUCCGGAUCAAAGAAACUAGAUCAUAUGCUCGGAUUGGGUCAAACGAACAAGCUUGGACUUCGGCUAUGAACGGACAUACGUUGAGAAGGAUUUAAAUUCAACUUUUAAAGUCUCAACAACUUCGAAAGAGAAGGUGUGUCAUAAAUGUGGCAAGAAAGGACACAUUAAAAGGAAUUGCCCAAAUAAGGAAAAGAAGAAUCAAUCGGCAAUGUCUAAACCUCAAACAACAUCAUCUACAACUCGACUUCCCCCGCGGAAUCAUAAGAAAAAUCAAGUUAGUCGAGAACCUCAAAAGAAUCGGACUUCUAAUGCACAACGCCAAGUUCAUGCAAAACAGGUGCAUAAACCUCAACGACAAAUUCAACCGAAGCCUCAACCGAAGAAACCACCAACGGUUGAUUAAAAAUCUAAACAAACGGCACCAAACGUCGAGAAGCCGAGAAAACCAAAGAUCCGACAAGUUUGGAUCCGGAAAGGUGAUAUCUUUCCUUGCUCCUCGUCUUAGUCAUUUUGAUUUUUAGUGUAAUGCUUUGAUUGAUGCUUGUUGCAUAAUUUUAUUCUUUGCAUUACAUAUUUGAAUGAUUUUUGGUGCAUUGAAUUUUUGUUUAUUUAAAAAUCAUUUUGAGGAAAGGUUUUUAGGAAUUCAAAAUUUUCGAGAAAAGAGAUGAUUGAGAUCCAUGAUUUGGAGAGAGAAAUUUUUUAAAAAAAGGUGUUUGAACAGUGUUUAAUUCAUAUUAAUUAUCGGUUUUACUCCACUUUUUAUUAUUUUGACGAUAAUUUAAUAUAUGAUUUCUUAGUGCAUAUAUUCAUCAAAGCUUUGAAAUCAAAUUUGAUCUUUUGGUGAUUAGUUCAUCUUGGUUGUGAGUGUUGGAUAUGAUGAAUGGAUAUUCUCUAAUUGACUAAAAUUCGUCAAAAUUAUUUUCUACUGUGAGAUUGUCUAAUUUAGGGGGAGUUUGAAAUUGUUUAAAAAUAAAAAGAAAAAACUCCUAUAUUUAAAAGAUGUGAAAAGAGUUAUAUCCUAAAAGGAGUGUGAAAACUACCACCACAUGUAGGAAAGAGCUACCACUCUGGUCGUCCGGCAAGUGUGUGGAGCUACCACAUGAAAAUUAAUUGAAAAGCUGAAAAGGUUGGAAAAAGUUUAUAAAUAUUAAAAUUUUCGGAGUUAUAAGGUGGUAAGUUGAAAAGAUGCUCAAAGAGCCACCCCCGGUGCCAUAUUAGUUAAAUCUCUAUUUUGAAUGUGUUGCGACAAAUUGGUGUCAAUUUUGUUGAAUUUCUAAAAAUCAUUUUUCAUCAACUUACAUCUUGAUGGUUUUGAAUCAUUAAAUUAUUUUUGAUAUUGAAAUUUUGAUGUUUCGAUGUGUUUUGAAAUUUUAUAAUAUCUUAUUUUCAUUAUAAUGAUUUUUGGAGUAAAAGCCUUAAUUAUAUGAAUUUAAUUUAAAUUUGAUGGGUUUUUAAAGGAUAUUUUUUGAAAAUUUUUUUUCACAUUUUGGUCCUUGUACCGGUACAAGAAACCGUGUUCCGGUACAAGGACUGCGGCUGAGCGGAAUAUAACCGGGUAUAACGCUUCGAUCUCUCUCAAAUCUCAACCUUUUUCAAAAAUUUUUGUUCCUGAGAGCUCCAGCGACUCUUCUUCAACCGUUCUACACGUUUUCCUCUUGGAUUUGUAAGUUUUUAGCAUCAAAUUUGUGAGUUUUAUCCCGAUUUUGCUAUUUUCACUGUUUUUGCGGGAUAAGGGUUUGAUCUCUGUUCUAAUCCGUUUUUGAUGCAAUUUUUUGCUAUAGAUCAGUGUCUUAGGCUAUUACCUUGCUUGUAGAACACUUGAACAACAUCAAAACAAGUUAUUUUUCGCUGAUCUAAGAUUUAUGAUCUAAUAUGCAUGUAAUUUCGGGAUUUUUCAAAAAGUUCGAUUUUUGCUGAAAUUUUUUGCAUGAUCUGGUUAGAAAUAGCAUUUGUAUGCAUUCUAAUGUUAUUAGAAAUUUUUUCGCUAUUUUUACAGAUUUUUCCAAAAAGUUUGUUCAUGUAUGCAAUUUUUUUUGAUAUAGGAAAAUGGCGUUUUUGCUCGUAUUGGUGUUGUUGGUGCUAAUGGCUGGGAGACGGAGCCGUGGUGGUGGUAGAGGUCGUCAUGGGGUUUCUAAAAGGACACGCACAACUGAAGAAGCAUCCGGGUCUGAUCCGGAUUAUCAGGCGAGCUCCCCAGAAGAACUUGAAGAACCUAUUGCUCGACUUGACAAAGGCAAAGGAAUAGCUGGCGAAUCAUCUCAUGGUGGUGGUUCUCGUACUCGUGAGGGACGUACAAAACAAGUUGCAGAUGUCCCUCCAGCACGGCAAAGGUUGUUUGCGUCGAAGUCGUGCAUAGCUGAACGCUUUGUGAACUUUAAUGACCUGGUUCGGGAUGUUCCUGAUUUUGGUCGACUGCUACAGCGUACACCUAUUGAGCCAGUUGGACGGGUCCCGGCCAAGGCUCCUUUCUAUGUAGAACUCAUUCGGGAGUUCUAUAUGAAUGGAAAGGUACUUGCUGAAGAUGAUGAAACAGGCACUUUUAUUUUUGAGACUAUUGUGCGAAAGAAGAGAUUCCCAGUUACCCCCUAGAGCUUGGGAAUGCAUGUGGACACUACAGGUCUUCUCUAUACGUCAGGAGGAUUCCAAGCAUCAACUCACAUGGAUAUCAUUCUUGGAGCUAUAUGCAAAGCCGGUGUUUACAUGACUCAUGGUUACAUUGAAUCCAAGGAUUUAUUACCUGAGUAUCACUUGCUAUCCUUGGUUAUGAGCUAUAAUGUUCAACCCACCAUUGGCACAAAGAGGAUCCGUUGGGAGAGAUUAGUGUUGCUAUAUCUUCUUGGUCAUCCCGAACAGGCUCAUGGAUUGAACAUCAACAUUCCAUUUCUGAUCUGGCAAAGGAUGAUACACGUGAUUCAGGGUGCCACUCGACAGGAUCUACUUCCAUUCCCUGUUAUGAUUACAAGGAUUCUUCAAGCAAAUGGAGUAGAUACAUCUUGUGACAAGUAUGAUGUUGGCCUUGGGCCUAUUGACUCAGUGACUUGGGCUAAGUCGGUUAGCACUCUCAAGUCAUUCCAUAAGACCAAAGGGCCACCUCCUAAAGCAUCUAGCCCAGCACCUCCACCAAGAGCAGCUUCUAGCUCUGCUCCUCCACCUCCAUCCCAAGGGAGUUAUGAUACUUCAUCUAGUUCGGGGGGAGCGACGACCUUGGAAUCAGUUAAGGAGGAUUUGCGAAAAUUAAAGAAAAAGGUGAACAAUAUUGGGAGAAAAGUUGAGUCAGGCAUCAAGAAGUUUGAAUUAAGUAUCAAAAGAUUGAUGGAUAAGAUGGGGUGUCGACAUGAUGAUAUUUGGGAACCUACUCCAUCUUCUGCCUCGUAUCAGCGGUCAUCUUCACGACAUCCUCUCAUUCCACCAUCUAGUAAUGCUCUUGAGGCUGGGGGUUUUGGAGCUGGUGCUGGAGAUGAUGAUGAUGGUGACGAGGACACGGAGUGAUUUCUUCGUCGAGCUUAGUCUCUUUCUUUCACUACAUUUGUUGUUUAGGACCAUGUUUUAGAUUUGCUUGCUUAUCUUUCUGUAGUAUGUUUUUACUUUCGUUUUAGGCCUGUAACUAUGACUAGACUACUUUUGUACUUUCUAGUAUGUUUUCUCUCUCUAUUUGUUUUAUUUUGGCAAUUUUUGACAAAAAGGGGGAGAGCGUAGAUGAAGAGAGAGAGCGUGGAUGAACAGGCAAGCAUGGAUGAACAAGCAUUGAACUAAAGCAGAGGAUGAUAAGGUCAAAAACAAAGGUAGAGAUAUGAACAAAGGGGGAGAAGGAAAUCAAGACUUCAAGACUCCUAGUUGCGUCUAAGUCAUAGAGUCUGUUUUAGGAGUUUUUAAUGUAAUUUUGAUUCUCAAUUUGUAUUUGGACUACAUGGGAGGGAUUCAAUGUUUUGGUGAUGACAUUGAACUUCGUUUUUUUCUUUAAAUUGUAAUUUGUGAGUUUGUGUGUGUUUUGUCACGAAAUUGCCAAAGGGGAAGAUUGUUAGGUCCUAUGUGUUAGCAAGUUUCGUGGGUCGAGUCGGAGUCUUGAAGAAGUCCGGAGCGUAGUAUUGAAGAUCGAAAAAUCCAAGACUUCGAAGAAUUGGAAAGGACGCAAAACACGCAAAACAUGAAUCACGAUGCUUAGGUAAGCUUUAAAUCUUGUUUAUGGUGAUUCAUACUUAAUUAUAGAUUUUAGAAUCAUGUUUUCAAGUUGUAAUUGAUUAGAAAGUUUCUAAGAGCUUGUAAAACCUAAUAUGCAUGUAUUUUCGGGAUUUUUCAAAAAGUUUAAUUUUUGCUGAAAUUUUUUGCAUGAUCUAGUUAGAAAUAGCAUUUGUAUGCAUUCUAAUGUUAUUAGAAAUUUUUUCGCUAUUUUUACAGAUUUUUUCAAAAAUUUUGUUCAUGUAUGCAAUUUUUUUGAUAUAGGAAAAUGACGUUUUUACUCGUAUUGGUGUUGUUGGUGCUAAUGGCUGGGAGACGGAGCCGUGGUGGUGGUAGGGGUCGUCAUGGGGUUUCUAAAAGGACACGCACAACUGAAGAAGCAUCCGGGUCUGAUCCGGAUUAUCAGGCGAGCUCCCCAGAAGAACUUGAAGAACCUAUUGCUCGACUUGACAAAGGCAAAGGAAUAGCUGGCGAAUCAUCUCAUGGUGGUGGUUCUCGUACUCGUGAGGGACGUACAAAACAAGUUGCAGAUGUCCCUCCAGCACGGCAAAGGUUGUUUGCGUCGAAGUCGUGCAUAGCUGAACGCUUUGUGAACUUUAAUGACCUGGUUCGGGAUGUUCCUGAUUUUGGUCGACUGCUACAGCGUACACCUAUUGAGCCAGUUGGACGGGUCCCGGCCAAGGCUCCUUUCUAUGUAGAACUCAUUCGGGAGUUCUAUAUGAAUGGAAAGGUACUUGCUGAAGAUGAUGAAACAGGCACUUUUAUUUUUGAGACUAUUGUGCGAAAGAAGAGAUUCCCAGUUACCCCCUAGAGCUUGGGAAUGCAUGUGGACACUACAGGUCUUCUCUAUACGUCAGGAGGAUUCCAAGCAUCAACUCACAUGGAUAUCAUUCUUGGAGCUAUAUGCAAAGCCGGUGUUUACAUGACUCAUGGUUACAUUGAAUCCAAGGAUUUAUUACCUGAGUAUCACUUGCUAUCCUUGGUUAUGAGCUAUAAUGUUCAACCCACCAUUGGCACAAAGAGGAUCCGUUGGGAGAGAUUAGUGUUGCUAUAUCUUCUUGGUCAUCCCGAACAGGCUCAUGGAUUGAACAUCAACAUUCCAUUUCUGAUCUGGCAAAGGAUGAUACACGUGAUUCAGGGUGCCACUCGACAGGAUCUACUUCCAUUCCCUGUUAUGAUUACAAGGAUUCUUCAAGCAAAUGGAGUAGAUACAUCUUGUGACAAGUAUGAUGUUGGCCUUGGGCCUAUUGACUCAGUGACUUGGGCUAAGUCGGUUAGCACUCUCAAGUCAUUCCAUAAGACCAAAGGGCCACCUCCUAAAGCAUCUAGCCCAGCACCUCCACCAAGAGCAGCUUCUAGCUCUGCUCCUCCACCUCCAUCCCAAGGGAGUUAUGAUACUUCAUCUAGUUCGGGGGGAGCGACGACCUUGGAAUCAGUUAAGGAGGAUUUGCGAAAAUUAAAGAAAAAGUUGAACAAUAUUGGGAGAAAAGUUGAGUCAGGCAUCAAGAAGUUUGAAUUAAGUAUCAAAAGAUUGAUGGAUAAGAUGGGGUGUCGACAUGAUGAUAUUUGGGAACCUACUCCAUCUUCUGCCUCGUAUCAGCGGUCAUCUUCACGACAUCCUCUCAUUCCACCAUCUAGUAAUGCUCUUGAGGCUGGGGGUUUUGGAGCUGGUGCUGGAGAUGAUGAUGAUGGUGACGAGGACACGGAGUGAUUUCUUCGUCGAGCUUAGUCUCUUUCUUUCACUACAUUUGUUGUUUAGGACCAUGUUUUAGAUUUGCUUGCUUAUCUUUCUGUAGUAUGUUUUUACUUUCGUUUUAGGCCUGUAACUAUGACUAGACUACUUUUGUACUUUCUAGUAUGUUUUCUCUCUCUAUUUGUUUUAUUUUGGCAAUUUUUGACAAAAAGGGGGAGAGCGUAGAUGAAGAGAGAGAGCGUGGAUGAACAGGCAAGCAUGGAUGAACAAGCAUUGAACUAAAGCAGAGGAUGAUAAGGUCAAAAACAAAGGUAGAGAUAUGAACAAAGGGGGAGAAGGAAAUCAAGACUUCAAGACUCCUAGUUGCGUCUAAGUCAUAGAGUCUGUUUUAGGAGUUUUUAAUGUAAUUUUGAUUCUCAAUUUGUAUUUGGACUACAUGGGAGGGAUUCAAUGUUUUGGUGAUGACAUUGAACUUCGUUUUUUUCUUUAAAUUGUAAUUUGUGAGUUUGUGUGUGUUUUGUCACGAAAUUGCCAAAGGGGAAGAUUGUUAGGUCCUAUGUGUUAGCAAGUUUCGUGGGUCGAGUCGGAGUCUUGAAGAAGUCCGGAGCGUAGUAUUGAAGAUCGAAAAAUCCAAGACUUCGAAGAAUUGGAAAGGACGCAAAACACGCAAAACAUGAAUCACGAUGCUUAGGUAAGCUUUAAAUCUUGUUUAUGGUGAUUCAUACUUAAUUAUAGAUUUUAGAAUCAUGUUUUCAAGUUGUAAUUGAUUAGAAAGUUUCUAAGAGCUUGUAAAACUCGAAACAAUGCAUUUUCAGCGAAAAUUGCAUUGUUGUACCGGUACAAGGGUUUAUCUGUUCCGGUACAGACAUCGGCCUUUGCUGCAGAGUUUGUUGAUGGUUGUUCCGGUACAACCAUCACGGCUGUACCAGUACAAGCCCUGUUCCGGAACAAGCUGCAGCCUAUUCAGGGUACAGAAGCUUCGUAGAAAAAUCUUCCGUCAUGCUGUACCCUGGACAGCUUUCCUUGUUCCGGUACAAGGUGCUUAUUUUGGAAAGAAACUUUCUAAUCCUACUCCAUUUUGAUUCUAAAGUCUAUAAAUAAACUAUUGGGGUUUUCUAACUGAUCAAGCAUCACGAAAAUACAUGUUUGAAAAACCCUAGAGGCUCGGAUUUCAUUUUAAACCUAUUUUCUACAAAUUAGCCUCUUUAGAUCAAAUCGAGAUAACGUUUUACAUUCGCUAUAUGUCGAUUUGAUCUAGUCUUCGCUUGGAGUUCUAUUCCCUGGUUUUCUACGAUACUCCUAAGCGAAGGAUCACCAUAAUCAUGAUGCUCUUCAUGAACGGCGUCGUGGAUUCGGCGUGAACAAAGGCGGUUCGUGGAUUCGGAUCGUUGGCUCGUGGAUUCGAGUGGCGUCGUGGAUUCGGCGUGAUUGAAGCUUCGUGGAUUCGAAGUGGAGGCGUUCGUGGAUUCGAACGUGAGGGCGUGGACAACCCGGAGGGUAGCGCGAAGAUUCAUAGGAGGUUAAGAGAGGUUGAGUCCGUGGAGUCGGUAAUCACCUUGUAAUCUUUUCUCUUAGUGAAUUAUUUUUUCGCGUGUUGGUCCCGUGGGUUUUUCUCCAAGUUGGAGUUUUCCCACGUAAAUCUCGGUGUGCUUUUUAUUUUCUGCAUUUAUUUUUAUUGCAUCGAGAUUUAUGGUUUUUGGCCGUUCACCUAUUCACCCCCCUCUAGGUGAUAGAUAUAAUCUAGAUAGAUCCUUGGGCUCC
Molecule: long non-coding RNA, 10078 nt
Filed under: Ananas comosus (pineapple)
Lineage: Eukaryota; Viridiplantae; Streptophyta; Magnoliopsida; Poales; Bromeliaceae
Description: long non-coding RNA (ACOM_LNC010297)
Source: RNAcentral